CGUCAAAGCUUUAUUAAUUAUACAACAAAUCCCUAAAAAAUUAAAGAACCCCACACUAGUACUGAAUGAUCCUAUACCCCUAUAGAACCCCCUAUGUUAAAACUAGUAAUAAGAAAUUACUUCUCUUACAACGCAAGUGUAAAUCAUAAUGGAACAUCCACUGAUAAUUAACAGCUAUAAACUAAAGUAGCACCAAACAAGAAAACCCUACUUAACCAACUGUCAACCUUACACAAGCGCGUCCAAAGAAAGAUUUAAAGAGAAGGAAGGAACUCGGCAAACACUGAUUCCGCCUGUUUACCAAAAACAUCGCCUCUUGAUAACAUAUAAGAGGUCCAGCCUGCCCAGUGACCUAGUUCAACGGCCACGGUAUCCUAACCGUGCGAAGGUAGCAUAAUCACCUGUUUUUUAAUUGAAGACCAGUAUGAAAGGCACCACGAGAAUCUCACUGUCUCCCUUCUUUAAUCAAUGAAACUAAUCUCCCCGUGAAAAAGCGGGGAUGCUUCUACAAGACGAGAAGACCCUUUGGAGCUUAAGACAAAGUAUAAUUAUCGCUUACCUCCCCUCUAACCCACUUCUAAUAGCAUCUAUUUACAAGUCUUUGGUUGGGGCAACCGCGGAGUAAAAAAUAACCUCCUAGAUGAAAAGAAACCUCUUAAACAGAAAGCUACAACUUUAUGUAUCAAUAAAAUGACAUCAAUUGACCCAAUAUUUUUGAUUAACGAACCAAGUUACCCUAGGGAUAACAGCGCAAUCCACUUCGAGAGUCCAUAUCGACAAGUGGGCUUACGACCUCG
Molecule: ribosomal RNA, 797 nt
Filed under: Eleutherodactylus hypostenor
Lineage: Eukaryota; Metazoa; Chordata; Amphibia; Anura; Eleutherodactylidae
Description: partial 16S ribosomal RNA
Rfam family: Bacterial large subunit ribosomal RNA
Source: RNAcentral